UUUUCUUUCUUCUUAUCUUUCCUUCUUCUCUGUUACUUCUGCUUCUGCAAGUUUAAGAGUUUUAAAUCGUGAUGAUGUAUUAAAGAAGAAGGAGUUGGUGUUCUGUUUAUUAUGAAGAAGAAGAUUGAGAUGAUGUGAUAAAUCGAAGAUAUGGUUCUGAAGUUAGGGUUUUCUGAAUGAUGAAGUUGGUUGAGUUUUCGUGGAAUUGAUUUGUGUAUUGAGUUCCUGAUGGAAGAAGAUUGAAUGGGUUGAAGUUUAAUUAUAGUUUUGAAGUUGAUUCAGUGAUGAAUCGAAAAACUAGGGUUUCAUGUAUUUUUCCCCAAAUUGAAUUAAGGUUUCUCAAGAUAAACUGGAAUUACAAUUAAUAAGGUAUAAGAAGAAUUAAGGAAUGGGUUUAGUCAAUUGAGGAACAUGGUGAAGUUAAUUAGAUGUUGGAACUGUUUUUUGGGGAGAAUUGAGGAAAUAAGGGUUUCACGGGAAAGCACAGGGAAGAAUAUAUUAGAAGAUGGGAUUGAUGUUCUCUGAGAUGGAUUUGAUAUGGAUUACGGAAUUAAGUUAAAGUAAAACAGUGGAGCAAAGCUUUGUUGAGGUAAUUGUGCUUCUUUGUAAUGUUAAUAAAUUUAUGAAAGUUCUUUAGUUAAAUUUAUGAAUAUAAAUGAAUUAAGGUUUGAGAAUGGGUAUGGAGGUUGUGUGAUAAAGCUGUAGUUGUAGCUUAGUAUAAUAUGAGUAACAAGAAUAGAAAGGGUGGUGUUGCAGCUGUCUUUAAAGGAUUGGGGAUUUAGAUAUUGUUAGGUUAUUUGUAAAUGGUGUUUCAUUGUAAGGAAAUAGAAUUUGGUUGGUGUUGAGAUGAAUCUGAAAUCUCAGGGCCAGUAAGUAUUGAGAAUGGUGUUCUGGUGGUGCAUUGAGAUUUGAUGUAUAGGUGUUGUAAUUGGGAAUGCUAUGGUGGGAUUGGUAUAUCGAUGUUGUUUUGAGUGGAUUGAAUGAUUUAAUGAUGCAGGAGUGGAUAAGUGGAAUCACAGUUGGUGUUGUGGUGGAUUCAUAAUGGUGAUGAAUGAGCUGUUGGAUGAGUGUCGCAGUUGAGUUGUUCAGGUUUUGUGAUUAGUGGUUAUAGAGUGAGAGAUGUAAUUUACUAGUAGCAAGAGCAUUGAAGAUACUGGAGUUGGGUAUUGUGUUGUUAUUAGAAUAUCUGAAUUUGUAUUUCAGAUGAUGAUGAGGUGUGUUGGUUGGUUGUUAGAGCUGAAUUGUUGGUGGCUGGUGCUGAUAGUGUCAAGCUAAGACUGAAAUGGUGUUGGUAUGAGCAGUGUAGGAUUAUAGUUGUUAGUUCAAUAAAAGCUAAAAGCUGCUAUUGCAGUCUUUAUUAACAACGAUCGAUUCAAAGGAUGAACCAGUAGAUCGUGGAUCUCGAGGUAGGCAUGGCUUGUCAUCAAAAGAGUUUCAGAGACAGAUCAGAGUUGCGCAGCGAAAGCUUUGAACGUUGAGUUCGAUCGUUGGUUAACUUCUGCUAUGUUUAUUACGUUGUAUAUUCUUUUGUAAACCAGAUGACUAUUAUAUAUGUAUCAUUUGAGAGGAGUUCUUGUAUAUAUGUAUAUUUCAGAGC
Papaver somniferum (opium poppy) is the source of this 1597-nucleotide long non-coding RNA. RefSeq lists it as uncharacterized. The record is from RefSeq and is a predicted model, not a curated record. Lineage: Eukaryota; Viridiplantae; Streptophyta; Magnoliopsida; Ranunculales; Papaveraceae. The transcript is spliced from 3 exons.